CCUACGGGUGGCAGCAGUGGGGAAUAUUGCGCAAUGGGCGAAAGCCUGACGCCGCGACGCCGCGUGAGGGAUGAAGGUCUUCGGAUCGUAAACCUCUGUCAGCAGGGAAGAACGGUCACUGUGCUAAUCAGCAGUGAAUUGACGGUACCUUCAAAGGAAGCACCGGCUAACUCCGUGCCAGCAGCCGCGGUAAUACGAAGGGUGCGAGCGUUAAUCGGAAUUACUGAGCGUAAAGCGUUCGUAGGCGGUAUGGUAAGUCAAGGGUGAAAUCCCCGCGCUGAACGUGGGAACUGCCUUGGAUACUGGCAAACUAGAGUGUGUGAGAGGAUAGUGGAAUUCCAGGUGUAGGAGUGAAAUCCGUAGAUAUAUGGAGGAACAUCAGUGGCGAAGGCGACUAACUGGGACAUAACUGACGCUGAGGGGCGAAAGCGUGGGUAGCAAACAGGAUUAGAUACCCCGGUAGUC
Molecule: ribosomal RNA, 465 nt
Filed under: uncultured bacterium
Lineage: Bacteria
Description: partial 16S ribosomal RNA
Rfam family: Bacterial small subunit ribosomal RNA
Source: RNAcentral